Molecule: unclassified non-coding RNA, 322 nt
Filed under: Chytridiomycota sp.
Lineage: Eukaryota; Fungi; Chytridiomycota
Description: partial contains small subunit ribosomal RNA, internal transcribed spacer 1, and 5.8S ribosomal RNA
Rfam family: Eukaryotic small subunit ribosomal RNA (bases 1-47)
Source: RNAcentral
AAAGUCGUAACAAGGUAACCGUAGGUGAACCUGCGGUUGGAUCAUUACCAAAGAAAAAAGAAAGAUGGGGAUGGCAUCACUGCUAUCUUCACUCUUUUCUUUUUAAACAUUGUGUGAACUGGUUUUCGUUUUUUGGCGGUUUGGCGAAACUGUAACAAGCCGCUGUAUGUGGGCCGCCAAAAUAUAUAUUAAACAAACAUUUUGAUUUUAUAAUCUGAUCUUUUUUGUUUUUAUUUUUUUUUUCCCCCAUCGGGUGUGAAAAGAAAAAUGAAUAACUAAAUCAAUUACAAAACAACUUUUGACAACGGAUCUCUUGGCUCUC